This 253-nucleotide ribosomal RNA is filed under the name uncultured bacterium. RNAcentral's name for it is "partial 16S ribosomal RNA". It matches the Rfam family "Bacterial small subunit ribosomal RNA", at positions 524 to 776 of the family's 1533-position model. The record is from RNAcentral.
UACGAAGGGGGCUAGCGUUGCUCGGAAUCACUGGGCGUAAAGGGUGCGUAGGCGGGUCUUUAAGUCAGGGGGGAAGUCCUGGAGCUCAACUCCAGAACUGCCUUUGAUACUGAAGAUCUUGAGUUCGGGAGAGGUGAGUGGAACUGCGAGUGUAGAGGUGAAAUUCGUAGAUAUUCGCAAGAACACCAGUGGCGAAGGCGACUUCCUGGCCUGUUCUUGACGCUGAGGCGCGAAAGCUAGGGGAGCAAACGGG